This 78-nucleotide transfer RNA is filed under the name Candidatus Sumerlaeota bacterium. Its description in RNAcentral is "tRNA-Val". It matches the Rfam family "tRNA". From Rfam's summary of the family: Transfer RNA (tRNA) molecules are approximately 80 nucleotides in length. Their secondary structure includes four short double-helical elements and three loops (D, anti-codon, and T loops). Lineage: Bacteria; Candidatus Sumerlaeota. The record is from RNAcentral.
GGGCGGUUAGCUCAGUUUGGUUAGAGCGCUUGCUUGACAUGCAAGAGGUCGGCAGUUCGAGCCUGCCAUCGCCCACCA